GCAGGCUUCAUACAUGCAAGUCGAGGGGCAGCAUAAAUUACUUGUAAUUUGAUGGCGACCGGCGAACGGGUGCGUAACGCGUAUGCAACUUACCUUUUACUAGAGAAUAGCCAAGAGAAAUUUUGAUUAAUGCUCUAUGUUCUUAUUUACUCGCAUGAGUAAAUAAGCAAAGCUCCGGCGGUAAAAGAUGGGCAUGCGUCCUAUUAGCUUGUAGGUGAGGUAAUGGCUCACCUAAGCUCCGAUAGGUAGGGGUCCUGAGAGGGAGAUCCCCCACACUGGUACUGAGACACGGACCAGACUUCUACGGAAGGCAGCAGUAAGGAAUAUUGGACAAUGGAGGCAACUCUGAUCCAGCCAUGCCGCGUGAAGGAAGACGGCCUUAUGGGUUGUAAACUUCUUUUAUACAGGAAGAAACCUUUCCACGUGUGGAAAGCUGACGGUACUGUAAGAAUAAGGAUCGGCUAACUCCGUGCCAGCAGCCGCGGUAAUACGGAGGAUCCAAGCGUUAUCCGGAAUUAUUGGGUUUAAAGGGUCCGCAGGCUGUUUGUUAAGUCAGAGGUGAAAUCCUACCGCUCAACGGUAGAACUGCCUUUGAUACUGGCAAACUUGAGUUAUUGUGAAGUAGUUAGAAUGUGUAGUGUAGCGGUGAAAUGCAUAGAUAUUACACAGAAUACCGAUUGCGAAAGCAGAUUACUAACAAUAUACUGACGCUGAGGGACGAAAGCGU
Molecule: ribosomal RNA, 727 nt
Filed under: uncultured bacterium
Lineage: Bacteria
Description: bacterial SSU rRNA
Rfam family: Bacterial small subunit ribosomal RNA
Source: RNAcentral